This 254-nucleotide ribosomal RNA is filed under the name uncultured bacterium. RNAcentral's name for it is "partial 16S ribosomal RNA". It matches the Rfam family "Bacterial small subunit ribosomal RNA", at positions 524 to 776 of the family's 1533-position model. The record is from RNAcentral.
GACGUAGGGCGCAAGCGUUGUCCGGAUUUAUUGGGCGUAAAGAGCUCGUAGGCGGCUUGUCGCGUCGACUGUGAAAACCCGUGGCUCAACCAUGUGGUCUGCAGUCGAUACGGGCAGGCUAGAAUUCGGUAGGGGAGACUGGAAUUCCUGGUGUAGCGGUGAAAUGCGUAGAUAUCGGGAGGAACACCAGUGGCGAAGGCGGCUUUCUGGUCUGCUCUUGACGCUGAGGCGCGAAAGCUAGGGUAGCAAACGGG